UACAGAGGUGGCAAGCGUUGUUCGGAAUUACUGGGCGUAAAGGGCGCGUAGGCGGCUUUUCAAGUCCCGUGUGAAAUCCCUCGGCUCAACUGAGGAAUUGCACGGGAAACUGUCUGGCUUGAGUUCGGGAGAGGGAAGCGGAAUUCCGGGUGUAGCGGUGAAAUGCGUAGAUAUCCGGAGGAACACCGGUGGCGAAGGCGGCUUCCUGGACCGACACUGACGCUGAGGCGCGAAAGCUAGGGGAGCAAAC
This 250-nucleotide ribosomal RNA is filed under the name uncultured bacterium. RNAcentral describes it as "partial 16S ribosomal RNA". It matches the Rfam family "Bacterial small subunit ribosomal RNA", at positions 524 to 773 of the family's 1533-position model. The record is from RNAcentral.